Ictidomys tridecemlineatus (thirteen-lined ground squirrel) is the source of this 351-nucleotide non-coding RNA. NCBI's taxonomy places the organism in Eukaryota, Metazoa, Chordata, Mammalia, Rodentia, Sciuridae. The record is from RefSeq and is a predicted model, not a curated record.
CUACAAGAGACUGAAUUGAAUGGCAGAGGGUGUUUUCUGCUGUCUUAUUACAGAGUUGCAGAAUCAAGAGGACUUAAUAUGCUGUUACCAUGAGAUGAGCAGCUUUGAUCAACCAUGAUCUCCCACCAUAAUAUACUGCUUCAACCACAGACCCAGAAACAAUGGAGCCUACUGACCAUUGGCUUAAACUCUGAAACUCCCCUCACCCUUGUACAUCUGAAUGACAGAGAAGACUCCAGAAGAUCCCAAGGACAACUAAAAUCAUUGUUCAAUAUAUGAAAAUGCUCAUUCAUUAUUCCCAUCAAAAGCAAUUUCUUUACUUUAACAAUAAAAUUAAAGGAUGUUAAUAAG